RNAcentral lists this ribosomal RNA (455 nucleotides) under uncultured bacterium. RNAcentral describes it as "bacterial SSU rRNA". It matches the Rfam family "Bacterial small subunit ribosomal RNA", at positions 340 to 786 of the family's 1533-position model. The record is from RNAcentral.
UACGGAAGGCAGCAGUGGGGAAUAUUGCACAAUGGGCGAAAGCCUGAUGCAGCUAUGCCGCGUGUAUGAAGAAGGCCUUAGGGUUGUAAAGUACUUUCAUCGGGGAGGAAAAACAAAACUAAUAAUUUUAUUUCUUGACGUUACCCGAAAAAGAAGCACCGGCUAACUCCGUGCCAGCAGCCGCGGUAAUACGGAGGGUGCUAGCGUUAAUCAGAAUUACUGGGCGUAAAGAGCACGUAGGUGGUUUUUUUAAGUUCAGAUGUGAAAUCCCUGGGCUUAACCUAGGAACUGCAUUUUGAAACUGAAAUACUAGAGUAUCGUAGAGGGAGGUAGAAUUCUAGGUGUAGCGGUGAAAUGCGUAGAUAUCUGGAGGAAUACCUGUGGCGAAAGCGGCCUCCUAAACGAAUACUGACACUGAGGUGCGAAAGCGUGGGGAGCAAACAGGGAUAGAUACC